UUUGUUUGGAGAGUUUGAUCCUGGCUCAGGACGAACGCUGGCGGCGUGCUUAACACAUGCAAGUCGAACGGAAAGGCCCUUUCGGGGGUGCUCGAGUGGCGAACGGGUGAGUAACACGUGGGUGAUCUGCCCUGCACUUUGGGAUAAGCCUGGGAAACUGGGUCUAAUACCGAAUAGGACCAUGGGAUGCAUGUCUUGUGGUGGAAAGCUUUUGCGGUGUGGGAUGGGCCCGCGGCCUAUCAGCUUGUUGGUGGGGUGAUGGCCUACCAAGGCGACGACGGG
Molecule: ribosomal RNA, 282 nt
Filed under: Mycolicibacterium holsaticum DSM 44478 = JCM 12374
Lineage: Bacteria; Bacillati; Actinomycetota; Actinomycetes; Mycobacteriales; Mycobacteriaceae
Description: Mycobacterium holsaticum DSM 44478 = JCM 12374 partial 16S ribosomal RNA
Rfam family: Bacterial small subunit ribosomal RNA
Source: RNAcentral